GUGGGGAAUCUUGCGCAAUGGGCGAAAGCCUGACGCAGCCAUGCCGCGUGAAUGAUGAAGGUCUUAGGAUUGUAAAAUUCUUUCACCGGGGACGAUAAUGACGGUACCCGGAGAAGAAGCUCCGGCUAACUUCGUGCCAGCAGCCGCGGUAAUACGAAGGGGGCUAGCGUUGCUCGGAAUUACUGGGCGUAAAGGGCGCGUAGGCGGACAGCUUAGUCAGAGGUGAAAGCCCAGGGCUCAACCUUGGAAUUGCCUUUGAUACUGGCUGUCUUGAGUUUGGGAGAGGUGAGUGGAACUCCGAGUGUAGAGGUGAAAUUCGUAGAUAUUCGGAAGAACACCAGUGGCGAAGGCGACUCACUGGCCCAAUUCUGACGCUGAGGCGCGAAAGCGUGGGGAGCAAACAGGAUUAGAAACCCGUGUAGUCC
Molecule: ribosomal RNA, 425 nt
Filed under: uncultured bacterium
Lineage: Bacteria
Description: partial 16S ribosomal RNA
Rfam family: Bacterial small subunit ribosomal RNA
Source: RNAcentral